CUGAACCAGCCAAGUAGCGUGAAGGAUGACUGCCCUAUGGGUUGUAAACUUCUUUUAUACGGGAAUAAGGUGGAGUAUGCAUACUCCUUUGUAUGUACCGUAUGAAUAAGGAUCGGCUAACUCCGUGCCAGCAGCCGCGGUAAUACGGAGGAUCCGAGCGUUAUCCGGAUUUAUUGGGUUUAAAGGGAGCGUAGGCGGGUGCUUAAGUCAGUUGUGAAAGUUUGCGG
Molecule: ribosomal RNA, 227 nt
Filed under: uncultured Bacteroides sp.
Lineage: Bacteria; Pseudomonadati; Bacteroidota; Bacteroidia; Bacteroidales; Bacteroidaceae
Description: partial 16S ribosomal RNA
Rfam family: Bacterial small subunit ribosomal RNA
Source: RNAcentral